GUGUCAGCAGCCGCGGUAAGACGUAGGGGGCCAGCGUUGCUCGGAAUUACUGGGCGUAAAGGGUUCGUAGGCGGUGUGGCAAGUCGGGAGUGAAAUCCUGGAGCUCAACUCCAGAACUGCCCUCGAUACUGGCGAUCUUGAGUCCGGGAGAGGUGAGUGGAAUUGCGAGUGUAGAGGUGAAAUUCGUAGAUAUUCGCAAGAACACCAGUGGCGAAGGCGGCUCACUGGCCCGGUACUGACGCUGAUGUGCGAAAGCGUGGGGAGCAAACAGUAUUAGAUACCCUCGUAGUCC
This 292-nucleotide ribosomal RNA is filed under the name uncultured bacterium. Its description in RNAcentral is "partial 16S ribosomal RNA". It matches the Rfam family "Bacterial small subunit ribosomal RNA", at positions 505 to 796 of the family's 1533-position model. The record is from RNAcentral.